UGCUCGAGUGGCGAACGGGUGAGUAACACGUGAGUAACCUGCCCUUGACUUUGGGAUAACUUCAGGAAACUGGGGCUAAUACAGGAUAGGAGCUCCUGCUGCAUGGUGGGGGUUGGAAAGUUUCGGCGGUUGGGGAUGGACUCGCGGCUUAUCAGCUUGUUGGUGGGGUAGUGGCUUACCAAGGCUUUGACGGGUAGCCGGCCUGAGAGGGUGACCGGCCACAUUGGGACUGAGAAAUACGGCCCAG
Molecule: ribosomal RNA, 247 nt
Filed under: uncultured Actinomycetales bacterium
Lineage: Bacteria; Bacillati; Actinomycetota; Actinomycetes; Actinomycetales
Description: partial 16S ribosomal RNA
Rfam family: Bacterial small subunit ribosomal RNA
Source: RNAcentral